Schistosoma haematobium is the source of this 45-nucleotide non-coding RNA. Lineage: Eukaryota; Metazoa; Platyhelminthes; Trematoda; Strigeidida; Schistosomatidae. The record is from Rfam.
AUCGAGCUGACGAGUCCCAAAUGAGGCGAAACGCGCGUCUUGGGU